AUGUUAUUGUUUGAAUUUCAGUUUUGUUCUGGUAAUACAGAAAGUGCUCUGUUGGUUCUCAGUUUACCUCGUUUUAUUGGUAUAUAUUCAUGCAGGCGGAGCAGCGGGUGGGGGAGUAAAAUCAGGCGAUGGCCAGCAAGUCAAGGCCGUCACAACGGCCGGCAUGCACCACAAGGAGGAGGAUGGCCUCUUCACCUACUCUGGCCCCGUCCUCCCCGACUCCUGGUCGUGCCCCUGUGCAUGAUAGCGCCCUCACUCUUCUACUUCUACUACCUACUGUUGCUCUUGUGUUGCUAUUAUACGAUGAAAAAUUCAUCUAAAAGGUGUCCGUACAUCAGAAGGGUGAGCACAAGGAGUAGGAGACUGUUGGCGUUUUGUAAAACCUGA
This 387-nucleotide ribosomal RNA is filed under the name Triticum aestivum (bread wheat). RNAcentral's name for it is "partial small subunit ribosomal RNA". Lineage: Eukaryota; Viridiplantae; Streptophyta; Magnoliopsida; Poales; Poaceae. The record is from RNAcentral.